UUACUAGAUCAGACCGGCGAUUUGGUAU
RNAcentral lists this small RNA (28 nucleotides) under Bombyx mori (domestic silkworm). Its description in RNAcentral is "ovarian small RNA-36622". The record is from RNAcentral. Lineage: Eukaryota; Metazoa; Arthropoda; Insecta; Lepidoptera; Bombycidae.